CAGUCGCCGCGGUAAUACGGAGGGUGCAAGCGUUAUCCGGAUUUAUUGGGUUUAAAGGGUCCGUAGGCGGAUCUGUAAGUCAGUGGUGAAAUCUCACAGCUUAACUGUGAAACUGCCAUUGAUACUGCAGGUCUUGAGUAAAUUUGAAGUGGCUGGAAUAAGUAGUGUAGCGGUGAAAUGCAUAGAUAUUACUUAGAACACCAAUUGCGAAGGCAGGUCACUAAGAUUUAACUGACGCUGAUGGACGAAAGCGUGGGGAGCGAACAGGAUUAGAGACCCCGGUAGUCCCUGUCUCUUAUAC
RNAcentral lists this ribosomal RNA (301 nucleotides) under uncultured bacterium. RNAcentral describes it as "partial 16S ribosomal RNA". It matches the Rfam family "Bacterial small subunit ribosomal RNA", at positions 509 to 807 of the family's 1533-position model. The record is from RNAcentral.